AAGGGAAAAUAAUGAUAAUACCUUACUAAGAGUGUCGGCCAAAUCUGGUGCCAGAAGACUCGGUAAGACCAGAGACGCAAACGUUAAUCAUCUUAAACAGGCGUAAAGGGUUUGUAGGCAGCUUUCAGAAGUACUAUAAUUAAGCAAAUAAAGUAGUCUAAUUGAAAGCUAGAAUCAAAUGGAGGUUAUAGUGUAUAACGCUUAGAGGAGGGCUGAUAUCCUUAGAUCCUAAGCAGAAUACUCAGGGCGAAGGCCACUUUCCACUAAUGAUUGACGCUGAGAAACGAAGGUUAGGGUAGGAAAUAGGAUUAGAUACCCCGGUACCCCUUUCUGUAAACGAUGAAUGGUAGUCAUUAGUUUAGAAAAACU
Molecule: ribosomal RNA, 369 nt
Filed under: Hapalopilus mutans
Lineage: Eukaryota; Fungi; Basidiomycota; Agaricomycetes; Polyporales; Phanerochaetaceae
Description: SSU rRNA
Rfam family: Bacterial small subunit ribosomal RNA
Source: RNAcentral